Molecule: long non-coding RNA, 1166 nt
Filed under: Equus asinus (donkey)
Lineage: Eukaryota; Metazoa; Chordata; Mammalia; Perissodactyla; Equidae
Description: lncRNA (ENSEASG00005038456.1)
Source: RNAcentral
ACAGUUUGUCCACAUCUCCAAAGAAAGCCCUACUCAGUCUCCCCUGAGUGAUGGAGAGCAAGCAGGCCCCCGUCAGCAGCAGGCCCUGCGCUCCGCCAGGCUGGCACAGGGAGAGUGAGGAGGGAAGGGCAGGGGCUGCCGUAAAGUCAAAAGGAACUGCCAACAAUACAGCUCUGUCUCCCAGGGGUGACUCACCAGUGAAAACAGAAGACCGGCCCACGUGCCAGCAUCUGCAGGACAGCGUCCAGGAGCGGGUGCAGCCAGCUUCAGGGGGCCAACGCUCCAGCACCUUCCUCAGGCCCCGUGAAUGGGGCCUGGUCGUCUCCCUGCAGCCUCGGUUUGGAAGCUCGUGGAAGGAACCAGGAGGUCAGAGGACAGCAGGCCAGCCCUUCCAGCCCCAGGACGGCGUUCAGAAGCUUCUAGAAGCCUCCCAGCCCUUACCUCCUGCCAAAGACCGAGCCAGUGCUGCCGGCACCCGGGCUGCCCCCACGCACUCAGGAAACAAGGAUGCCAGUGGGGUGGCAUGCCCUCCUCAGAUCACGACCCCACAGAGCAGGUGCGAUGGAUCGCCAUUUUACAGAUAAGGACUCUGAGACACAGAGCCGGCUCCCUUGCAGUUCUGGCCAACGAGCUGGAGGCAGAAGUCAACUGGGGAGAUUGUGGGAAAGCUUUUCAUUUCCUGAUAAAAGGAGUAAAGGUAGCUGAUGCCCCCUGUGCCCUUUAUUGCUGUCUUGAAUGUGGAUGCAAUGCCUGGAGUCAUGGCAGCCAUCUCGUGAUCUGAGGGAAAGGCUAGGAGAAGCACGGACAGUGACCUGGAACGACCUCCCCAGUCCCAAGACCUCUGUUUGUAUGGGAAAAUUAAACCCUGUCUGUUUACAUCGCUGGGUUAGGGUUUCUUACAGCUAAAAAUCAUACCUAAUGUUCUUUUCUCUUUCUUCCUCUCACUUAUUCCCACUUGAAAGUGGCUGGUUGUUAAAAGUCAGCAUCUUGGAAGGAGUGAGGGACAGUGAAAGGCCGCUUUCCCAGGAUAUUCAGCGGAAUUGCAUCCUCCCGUGGCCUUUCCAGCUCCACUUAGGAGCCCCUCCCGUAGUCCACGUGUGCGUGUGGACCGCGGCUCCAGGUCCACUCUCCCCUCAAUGCUCCUAACAGCCCAGAAGGGAGGCCAG